Molecule: ribosomal RNA, 419 nt
Filed under: uncultured eukaryote
Lineage: Eukaryota
Description: bacterial SSU rRNA
Rfam family: Eukaryotic small subunit ribosomal RNA
Source: RNAcentral
CAGUAGCGUAUAUUAAAGUUGUUGCGGUAAAAAAGCUCGUAGUUGGAUUUUGGUGUUUGACAAAUGGUCUGCCUUCGGGUUUGCACUGUUUGUUGGCACUUCUUUUCUGGGGAACUCACUGCUCUUAAUUGAGGGGUGCUGUAACGCAGAUCGUUUACUUUGAAAAAAUUAGAGUGUUCAAAGCAGGCCAACGCAUUGAAUACAUUAGCAUGGAAUAAUAAGAUAAGACUUGGGUCAUUAUUUUGUUGGUUUGCGGAUCGAGGUAAUGAUUAAUAGGGAUAGUUGGGGGUAUUCAUAUUUAAUUGUCAGAGGUGAAAUUCUUGGAUUUAUGAAAGAUGAACUUAGGCGAAAGCAUUUACCAAGGAUGUUUUCAUUAAUCAAGAACGAAAGUUAGGGGAUCGAAGACGAUUAGAUACCAU